Molecule: non-coding RNA, 27 nt
Filed under: Homo sapiens (human)
Lineage: Eukaryota; Metazoa; Chordata; Mammalia; Primates; Hominidae
Source: RNAcentral
UAUCUUACAGUUGUCCUUUCCGUGAGC